GUGGGGAAUCUUAGACAAUGGGCGCAAGCCUGAUCUAGCCAUGCCGCGUGGACGAUGAAGGCCUUAGGGUUGUAAAGUCCUUUCGCUGGGGAAGAUAAUGACGGUACCCAGUAAAGAAGCCCCGGCUAACUCCGUGCCAGCAGCCGCGGUAAUACGGAGGGGGCUAGCGUUGUUCGGAAUUACUGGGCGUAAAGCGCGCGUAGGCGGAUCGGAAAGUUGGGGGUGAAAUCCCGGGGCUCAACCUCGGAACUGCCUUCAAAACUCCCGGUCUUGAGUUCGAGAGAGGUGAGUGGAAUUCCGAGUGUAGAGGUGAAAUUCGUAGAUAUUCGGAGGAACACCAGUGGCGAAGGCGGCUCACUGGCUCGAUACUGACGCUGAGGUGCGAAAGCGUGGGGAGCAAACAGGAUUAGAAACCCGGGUAGUCC
RNAcentral lists this ribosomal RNA (425 nucleotides) under uncultured bacterium. Its description in RNAcentral is "partial 16S ribosomal RNA". It matches the Rfam family "Bacterial small subunit ribosomal RNA", at positions 354 to 796 of the family's 1533-position model. The record is from RNAcentral.